CCUACGGGGGGCUGCAGUGGGGAAUAUUGGGCAAUGGGGGCAACCCUGACCCAGCGACGCCGCGUGAGGGAAGACGGCCUUCGGGUUGUAAACCUCUUUUGUACGGGAAGAAGGACGUGACGGUACCGUGCGAAUAAGUCCCGGCUAACUACGUGCCAGCAGCCGCGGUAAUACGUAGGGGACGAGCGUUGUCCGGAAUUACUGGGCGUAAAGGGCGCGCAGGCUGUAGAUCAAGUCAGCUGUGAAAUGUCUGGGCUUAACCCGGGCAUGCGGUUGAAACUGAUGUACUGGAGUGCUGUAGAGGCAAGUGGAAUUCCCAGUGUAGCGGUGAAAUGCGUAGAUAUUGGGAAGAACACCGGUGGCGAAGGCGACUUGCUGGGCAGCAACUGACGCUGAGGCGCGAAAGCCAGGGGAGCAAACGGGAUUAGAUACCCCUGUAGUC
RNAcentral lists this ribosomal RNA (442 nucleotides) under uncultured Synergistaceae bacterium. RNAcentral's name for it is "bacterial SSU rRNA". It matches the Rfam family "Bacterial small subunit ribosomal RNA", at positions 338 to 795 of the family's 1533-position model. Lineage: Bacteria; Thermotogati; Synergistota; Synergistia; Synergistales; Synergistaceae. The record is from RNAcentral.